Heterocephalus glaber (naked mole-rat) is the source of this 292-nucleotide non-coding RNA. NCBI's taxonomy places the organism in Eukaryota, Metazoa, Chordata, Mammalia, Rodentia, Bathyergidae. The record is from Rfam.
UGGCGCCCAACGUGGGGCCAGAGAACGGGGGAUCCAGUGAAGGACGCUGCUCAGGGGCCCUAAGAUUAAGAUUGAGGAACAAAGAGCAUACUCGACAUAGAAGAGGCUUGCGAUUGACGUGGACCUGCCGUCUUUUUGCACCUCGGUAAGUUGAGCAGCGAUUAUGGGACAGGGCAUUAGUCAGCACGAACUGUUUGUGCAAGGUCUCAAGAAGACAUUACAGGCACGAGGGGUAAGGUUACAGUCAAACAAUUGCUGAAAUUUUUUGAUUUUAUUAAACAUCUCUGUCCCU